Molecule: long non-coding RNA, 301 nt
Filed under: Olea europaea (common olive)
Lineage: Eukaryota; Viridiplantae; Streptophyta; Magnoliopsida; Lamiales; Oleaceae
Description: long non-coding RNA (OEUR_LNC003890)
Source: RNAcentral
GGCAGGUUGGAGCGACUGGUACUCAAUGUCAACACUUUGUCCGAACUCCAAAUUGAGUAUGACUCGGUUAGGACUAUCAAAUGAGCCUGGAUAUCUUUGAACCCAAUUACACAACAAGUCCAUGACCAGGUCGAUGUGCUGCAUUAAAAAAUAGCAAUACAAAAUGAAGUUAUUUCAUUGCAGAAACAAACAAUGAUAUACAAGUCAUAAAAAUUAACAGUAUGACUACUUCAUUUACAUCGUCGACAAGCCAGGCUCAUGAAAUGAUGAUGUCGUGAAACCACUUAUAAGUAUCGGAGAU